UGAAAACAAACAAAUUCUCUGGUUUUGUUU
Molecule: non-coding RNA, 30 nt
Filed under: Mus musculus (house mouse)
Lineage: Eukaryota; Metazoa; Chordata; Mammalia; Rodentia; Muridae
Source: RNAcentral